This 363-nucleotide ribosomal RNA is filed under the name Amblyglyphidodon curacao (staghorn damselfish). RNAcentral describes it as "partial 12S ribosomal RNA". It matches the Rfam family "Bacterial small subunit ribosomal RNA", at positions 1020 to 1533 of the family's 1533-position model. Lineage: Eukaryota; Metazoa; Chordata; Actinopteri; Pomacentridae. The record is from RNAcentral.
CCCUCCUUGUUUGUACCGCCUAUAUACCGCCGUCGUCAGCCUACCCUGUGAAGGCCCAGAAGUGAGCAAGAUUGGUAAGACCCAAAACGUCAGGUCGAGGUGUAGUGAAUGAGAGGGGAAGAAAUGGGCUACAUUUCCUAAGCUAGGAAAUACGAAUAAUGAACUGAAAUAAGCAUUAGAAGGUGGAUUUAGCAGUAAGCAGAAAAACAGAGUGUUUCGCUGAAGUUAUGGCAAUAAAGCACGCACACAUCGCCCGUCACUCUCCCCGAGCUAUCCUAUUAACCAGUACCUAAAAAAUUACAUCUGCAAAGGGGAGGCAAGUCGUAACAUGGUAAGCGUACCGGAAGGUGCGCUUGGAAUAAU